GAUGAACGCUGGCGGCGUGCCUAAUACAUGCAAGUCGAGCGAACGGACGAGAAGCUUGCUCCUCUGACGUUAGCGGCGGACGGGUGAGUAACACGUGGAUAACCUACCUAUAAGACUAGGAUAACUUCGGGAAACCGGAGCUAAUACCGGAUAAUAUAUUGAACCGCAUGGUUCAAUAGUGAAAGACGGUUUUGCUGUCACUUAUAGAUGGAUCCGCGCCGCAUUAGCUAGUUGGUAAGGUAACGGCUUACCAAGGCAACGAUGCGUAGCCGACCUGAGAGGGUGAUCGGCCACACUGGAACUGAGACACGGUCCAGACUCCUACGGGAGGCAGCAGUAGGGAAUCUUCCGCAAUGGGCGAAAGCCUGACGGAGCAACGCCGCGUGAGUGAUGAAGGUCUUCGGAUCGUAAAACUCUGUUAUUAGGGAAGAACAAAUGUGUAAGUAACUAUGCACGUCUUGACGGUACCUAAUCAGAAAGCCACGGCUAACUACGUG
This 497-nucleotide ribosomal RNA is filed under the name uncultured bacterium. RNAcentral's name for it is "partial 16S ribosomal RNA". It matches the Rfam family "Bacterial small subunit ribosomal RNA", at positions 28 to 507 of the family's 1533-position model. The record is from RNAcentral.